GAUCUGAGAGGGUGGUCCCCCACAAUGGAACUGAAACACGGUCCAUACACCUACGGGUGGCAGCAGUAGGGAAUAUUGCCCAAUGGACGAAAGUCUGAGGCAGCAACGCCGCGUGUGCGAUGAAGGCCUUCGGGUUGUAAAGCACUUUCGUGAGGGAAGAGAAAAGACGGUACCUCACGAAUAAGGAUCGGCCAACUACGUGCCAGCAGCCGCGGUAACACGUAGGAUUCAAACGUUAUCCGGAUUUAUUGGGCGUAAAGCGCGUGCAGGCGGUUUGGUAAGUUGGAUGUGAAAGCUCCGGGCUUAACCCGGAGAGGUCGUUCAAAACUGCCAGACUAGAGGACAGUAGAGGGAGGUGGAAUUCCGGGUGUAGUGGUGAAAUGCUUAGAUAUCCGGAGGAACACCAGUGGCGAAGGCGGCCUCCUGGGCUGUUCCUGACGCUAAGACGCAAAAGCUAGGGUAGCAAACGGGAUUAGAGACCCCGGUAGUCCUAGCUGUAAACGAUGUAGACUUGGUGUUGGUGGUGUAAAAGCCUUCAGUGCCGUAGCUAACGCGAUAAGUCUACCGCCUGGGAUUACGGCCGCAAGGUUAAAACUCAAAGGAAUUGACGGGUCCCCGCACAAGCAGCGGAGCGUGUGGUUUAAUUCGAUUACGCGAAGAACCUUACCUGGGUUUGACAUAUAAGUGGUAAGAAGUCGAAAGAUAACUGACCCUUCGGGGAGCUUACACAGGUGAUGCAUGGCUGUCGUCAGCUCGUGUCGUGAGAUGUUCGGUUAAGUCCGGUAACGAGCGCAACCCUCACUGCAUGUUAUACGUGUCAUGCGGGACUGCCGGUAUAAAGCCGGAGGAAGGUGAGGACGACGUCAAGUCAGCAUGUCCUUUAUUAUCCAGGGCUACACACACGCUACAAUGGUCGGCACAAUAGGUUGCAAAACCGCGAGGUGGAGCCAAUCCUCAAAGUCGGCCUCAGUUCGGAUUGUAGGCUGCAACUCGCCUACAUGAAGUUGGAGUUGCUAGUAAACGCGCGUCAGCACAGUGCGUUGAAUACGUUCCCGGGGAUUGUACACACCGCCCGUCACGUCAUGGGAGCUGGAAACGCCCGAAGUCGGUAUCCUAACUUUCACAAGAGGGAGCCGCCUAAGGUGGGUCUGGUGACUAGGACGCAGUCGUAACAAGGUAGGCGUACCGGAAGGUGCGCCUG
This 1201-nucleotide ribosomal RNA is filed under the name metagenome. RNAcentral describes it as "bacterial SSU rRNA". It matches the Rfam family "Bacterial small subunit ribosomal RNA", at positions 289 to 1520 of the family's 1533-position model. The record is from RNAcentral.